AGAGCUUGCUUUUUAAGCUUAGUGGCGAACGGGUGAGUAACGCGUGAGUAACCUGCCCUAGAGUGGGGGACAACAGUUGGAAACGACUGCUAAUACCGCAUAAGCCCACGGUGCCGCAUGACACUGAGGGAAAAGGAUUUAUUCGCUUUAGGAUGGACUCGCGUCCAAUUAGCUAGUUGGUGAGGUAACGGCCCACCAAGGCGACGAUUGGUAGCCGGACUGAGAGGUUGAACGGCCACAUUGGGACUGAGACACGGCCCAGACUCCUACGGGAGGCAGCAGUGGGGGAUAUUGCACAAUGGGGGAAACCCUGAUGCAGCGACGCCGCGUGGAGGAAGAAGGUUUUCGGAUUGUAAACUCCUGUCGUUAGGGACGAUAAUGACGGUACCUAACAAGAAAGCACCGGCUAACUACGUGCCAGCAGCCGCGGUAAAACGUAGGGUGCAAGCGUUGUCCGGAAUUACUGGGUGUAAAGGGAGCGCAGGCGGGAAGACAAGUUGGAAGUGAAAACCAUGGGCUCAACCCAUGAAUUGCUUUCAAAACUGUUUUUCUUGAGUAGUGCAGAGGUAGAUGGAAUUCCCGGUGUAGCGGUGGAAUGCGUAGAUAUCGGGAGGAACACCAGUGGCGAAGGCGGUCUACUGGGCACUAACUGACGCUGAGGCUCGAAAGCAUGGGUAGCAAACAGGAUUAGAUACCCUGGUAGUCCAUGCCGUAAACGAUGAU
Molecule: ribosomal RNA, 723 nt
Filed under: uncultured bacterium
Lineage: Bacteria
Description: bacterial SSU rRNA
Rfam family: Bacterial small subunit ribosomal RNA
Source: RNAcentral